UACGGAGGGUGCAAACGUUGCUCGGAAUCAUUGGGCGUAAAGCGCACGUAGGUGGCUUGUUAAGUCGGGUGUGAAAUCCCUGGGCUCAACCCAGGAAGUGCACUCGAAACUGGCGAGCUUGAGUACUGAAGAGGGUCGCGGAAUUCCCGGUGUAGAGGUGAAAUUCGUAGAUAUUGGGAAGAACACCGGUGGCGAAGGCGGCGACCUGGUCCUUGACUGACGCUGAGGCGCGAAAGCGUGGGGAGCAAACAGG
Molecule: ribosomal RNA, 253 nt
Filed under: uncultured bacterium
Lineage: Bacteria
Description: partial 16S ribosomal RNA
Rfam family: Bacterial small subunit ribosomal RNA
Source: RNAcentral